GCCGGGGUGGCGAAAACGGUCAGACGCGGCCGCCUUAAAAGCGGCUGUCCCUCGGGACAUCUGGGUUCGAGUCCCAGCCCCGGCA
RNAcentral lists this transfer RNA (85 nucleotides) under Actinomycetota bacterium. Its description in RNAcentral is "Actinobacteria bacterium (freshwater metagenome) tRNA-Leu". It matches the Rfam family "tRNA". Rfam says of the family: Transfer RNA (tRNA) molecules are approximately 80 nucleotides in length. Their secondary structure includes four short double-helical elements and three loops (D, anti-codon, and T loops). Lineage: Bacteria; Bacillati; Actinomycetota. The record is from RNAcentral.